Molecule: ribosomal RNA, 860 nt
Filed under: Bacillus licheniformis
Lineage: Bacteria; Bacillati; Bacillota; Bacilli; Caryophanales; Bacillaceae
Description: bacterial SSU rRNA
Rfam family: Bacterial small subunit ribosomal RNA
Source: RNAcentral
GCGUUGUCCGGAAUUAUUGGGCGUAAAGCGCGCGCAGGCGGUUUCUUAAGUCUGAUGUGAAAGCCCCCCGGCUCAACCGGGGAGGGUCAUUGGAAACUGGGGAACUUGAGUGCAGAAGAGGAGAGUGGAAUUCCACGUGUAGCGGUGAAAUGCGUAGAGAUGUGGAGGAACACCAGUGGCGAAGGCGACUCUCUGGUCUGUAACUGACGCUGAGGCGCGAAAGCGUGGGGAGCGAACAGGAUUAGAUACCCUGGUAGUCCACGCCGUAAACGAUGAGUGCUAAGUGUUAGAGGGUUUCCGCCCUUUAGUGCUGCAGCAAACGCAUUAAGCACUCCGCCUGGGGAGUACGGUCGCAAGACUGAAACUCAAAGGAAUUGACGGGGGCCCGCACAAGCGGUGGAGCAUGUGGUUUAAUUCGAAGCAACGCGAAGAACCUUACCAGGUCUUGACAUCCUCUGACAACCCUAGAGAUAGGGCUUCCCCUUCGGGGGCAGAGUGACAGGUGGUGCAUGGUUGUCGUCAGCUCGUGUCGUGAGAUGUUGGGUUAAGUCCCGCAACGAGCGCAACCCUUGAUCUUAGUUGCCAGCAUUCAGUUGGGCACUCUAAGGUGACUGCCGGUGACAAACCGGAGGAAGGUGGGGAUGACGUCAAAUCAUCAUGCCCCUUAUGACCUGGGCUACACACGUGCUACAAUGGGCAGAACAAAGGGCAGCGAAGCCGCGAGGCUAAGCCAAUCCCACAAAUCUGUUCUCAGUUCGGAUCGCAGUCUGCAACUCGACUGCGUGAAGCUGGAAUCGCUAGUAAUCGCGGAUCACAUGCCGCGGUGAAUACGUUCCCGGGCCUUGUACACACCGCCCGUC